RNAcentral lists this unclassified non-coding RNA (387 nucleotides) under uncultured Verrucomicrobiae bacterium. Its description in RNAcentral is "contains 16S-23S intergenic spacer region". Lineage: Bacteria; Pseudomonadati; Verrucomicrobiota; Verrucomicrobiia. The record is from RNAcentral.
UCUGGCUUAUAGCCCAGCGGUCCCUCCAGAGUGCUUCGAACUCUCGUCCGAUUGGCAACAGGACACAAGGGUUGCGCUCGUUGCGGGACUUAACCCAACAUCUCACGACACGAGCUGACGACAGCCAUGCAGCACCUGUGUACGCUGGUAUUGCUACCUCGUCAGGCUUUCACCCUUCUACUACGUACAUGUCAAGGCCAGGUAAGGUUCUUCGCGUUGCAUCGAAUUAAGCCACAUACUCCACCGCUUGUGCAGGCCCCCGUCAAUUUCUUUGAGUUUUAAUCUUGCGACCGUACUUCCCAGGCGGCGCAUUUAACGCGUUAGCUUCGCCACGAAAGGGGUCGAAUCCUCUCACAGCAAAUGCGCACCGUUUACGGCUAGGACUAC